UUUAAUAUUAAAAUUAAUUACAUAUUCACUUCUUUUAAGAGUUUUAACUUCAGACUAAUCCCAUUGAGAACAAAGCAGUAUGUUAUAUCAGGUAGAAGCAACAAAAGGUCUCCUUGAAUUCACAAGUUAAGUUUAAUUAUUGAAAGGACGCAUGACUAGGAUAGUCCGAAUAGCAGCAAAUAAACAUGGAACCACAAAUUAUAAACUUCUAAUGGAAAUUUUAUCCAAAACAGCACUCUAUUUUAAAUGCCCCAGAAUAAUUACAUUAUCACCAUCCUGAAUUACAACGUGAGAGUGAUACCACGCAACAUACAUAACACAACAAUUGAAUAUAGACCCAAUACAAUUUCAAUCAAAAAACACUUUGGAUAAUAAAUACAACAUUCAAAUUGUUCCCAAAUGUUUGGAGCUUGUGACAGAUUCAUGGCAUUUCUAGCUCAAACGAGUUUAGAACUCGGGUCCCAAAUACUAUGGCAAUAUCUAAAUCCAAUUUUAUACUCAAAAUGGACAAAACAUGCAAAUCAAUGAUUAUAAUAACUUGCUCAACAGAUAAGAACAUGUAAUUUCGGAAAUCCUUUCUCAUAAAAAACAACAAGUGGUCCAAAUCAAAUUACAGAGUCAAAAUUGAGGAAAUGUACCUUGCUCCAACAGACAACAACUAUCCAGUAUAGUCCCACAAAGUGGGGUCUGGGAAUAAAAAAAACAAUGAUAAGGAAUGAAUCAGGGCUCAGCAAUGCAGCGAAUCAGCAGCACACAGUAGUUUUCUUCGAUUUAAAAGCUUUUACCCAGGAAAUGUGCAGCAACCCAUUAAACUUGAAAAAGCCAUCGGCUCUUCUCCUCUUUCAUUUUUUUUGAACUUUUCUUUAGUUUUGAAGAUUAAUGAUUUUCGGAUCUUCAUUUAAGUUUUUGUUUUAGCUUUGUUUCAGCCAUUUGUGCAUUUCGUAUGUUUAAAUCAUGAGUGAAAAAUGAGUGUAGGAAAAAAAAAGAAGGGGAGGGCGUUAUUGUGCGAUUUGGAGAAGAGGCUUCUGUUAUGGUGAGGAAAAUCAGGGGAGUGAAGGGAUGUCCAAAUGAAUUUGAUCGAGGACCAAGAAGGAGGGCUCGAUCCACCAUUUGUGGUUGUUCUUCAAGAGAAGAAGCUCCCUGUUGCCCGAUUUUCUUGUGAAGGGGUAUGAUGUGUAAAAGGGGGAGGGUUUUUUUUUUAUUUUUGUGUGUGUCCUCUAGAGUAAAUCGAGUGUGUGUGCUUUAUCGUGAAGAAGAAGAGAACAGGAAAGGGGGCACGCAUUUCGCGUGUCUCUAAGGGAAGAAGGGAUAUUAGCUAAAUGGGAUUUCGGUCAUGGGUCAUGGGUUUUUGGGAUGGAUUUAAUUGGGCUGAGCUAUUUGGCCCAGAUUUGGGUCUUAAGACCAACCUUUUAGUUUGUUUUUCUUUGGUUUUUCUCUUUUAUCUCUUUUAUUAAUUAAUUAAAAUCCUAAUUUAUUUUUGUAGACAUUAAAACAACUAAUUAACUUAAACUGAAGAAAAAUGUUAAUUUUAAAGAUUAAAAGCUAAAGAUAGUCAUAUUUUGUGAUUUAUCUUAAUGAAAUUAAUUCAUAUAUGAAAAUUGGACCUAAGGUGACAUAAAAUUAAAACGUGACAUUUUUUAUGAUUUUUUUAUGAUUUUAAAAUAUUAAAAAUUCAUGAAGGCAACUAAAUAAAGAAAAACUUCUAAAAUCCAUUAAAAAUUAUUUUUGGUUUAUUUGUAGGAGUUAUCUUCAUGUAGGGCCAAAAUCACGUGCUUACAUCACCCCUCGUGCUUUUACUCUCAUUCCUCACCAAAGCUGUCAAAUAUAAUGCACGGCAUCACUCUUCAUGCUUUUUACUCUCAUUUCUCACCAAGAAUAUCAAAUAUAAUGCACGGCAUCACCCUUCGUGCUUUUACUCUCAAUAUACAGUGCACGGCAUCACCCUUCUAGAGUAUCGACAAAGAAUCAAAAAUCAACAAUUGCACGACAACACCCUUCAUGCUUUUACUCUCAUCCUCACCCAAAGAAAAUAUAUAAUUAAAAUAGUACACGAUAUCACCCUUCGUGCUUUUACUCUCUCUUCCUCACCCAAUCAAUGCUCACAACCAAACAGGAAAGGAAAUAUAUAUCAAGGCAAAAUAUCCCGGCAAGGGACAAUAAUUCAACAAUAAAUCCCGGCAAGGGAAUACAACUCAACGAUAGGCCCCGGUAAGGAAAAAGUACCAAAAAUUUCUCUUUAAAUCAUUUACUUCCCAACUAUCACUUCAUAGUUCAUGUAACAAGUUGUUCACUUCUUUCGCAAUUUUAAUAGUGAAGAUGACUCACAGUCAUGCUAGACUCGGGCGCAUAGGUAACCGUCACCAUAGCUAUACACCGACCCCACAAAGCACAUAGCAAAUAUCAACCUAAUCUUAUUCCCUCAAGCCAAAUCGAAAGCUUCCAACUCAACUCACGCCUCUAAAAUAGCUUUACCUAUCGAAUUCGCCUCAAAACCGGUCGAAUAUAUCCACAAUUUACUCAAAUGUAUCAACAAAUGCUGGUUAAAUCAAUUUGAAUGCAUAAGAAUGAAAUUCCCAAAGUUUUAUCCAAAAUUCCCAAUAUGCCUCCGGAUGCUGGUUAAAUCAAUUUGAAUGCAUAAGAAUGAAAUUUCCAAAGUUUUACCCAAAAAUUCCCAAAAUACCCCUGGCCCACGUGGUCAAAACUCGAGGUGGGAACUAAAACCGGGUUACCCAUUCCCCCACGAGUUCAUAUAUGCAAUUUGUUUUGAAAUCGGACCCAAAUUGAGNNNNNNNNNNNNNNNNNNNNNNNNNNNNNNNNNNNNNNNNNNNNNNNNNNNNNNNNNNNNNNNNNNNNNNNNNNNNNNNNNNNNNNNNNNNNNNNNNNNNNNNNNNNNNNNNNNGGUUCUACACCAAAUCCCCAUUUUUACCCAUUGAAAGCUUUGAUUUUAAGUUGAAAUCAUGAUAAAAGAUGUUAAAGUUUGAAGAAAUUGAGUAAUAUUUGACUUACAAGUGGUUUGAGAGAGAAAAAGUCGAGAGAAAAUCGCGAAUAGAGGUUUGGGUUUUGAAAAUAUGAAAAAUGAAGUUUGAAAUCGGCUAAGUAUAAGUUGCACAGUUGCAGAUGUCGCAAUUGCGAGAUUUUGUUCGCAAUUGUGAACUCAGAAUAAGAAAGGCGGAACUCGCAACUUGUAUAUGAUAGGCAAUUCGUUUCCAUUUCUAAAUCCUCAUACCACUGUUUCAUUGCUCUAUGAUUUAAGUCAAUCUAAAGCUCAAUCUCUUGACACUACCUAGGAAGUCGAUGCACCAGCGCAAAUCAACAAGAAUGGUCCAUAGCACAGUACUAAUUUCUGAAAGGUUUAGAUCAACUAAAAUUAGAAGUUCUAAGGAUAUCAGCAGGUUCAUAAGCCCAAUUAUGGCUCCUAAAAGUACUUAGCAAAAUCUAAAACCAUCAUCCUUGUUUAAUAUUAAAAUUAAUUACAUAUUCACUUCUUUUAAGAGUUUUAACUUCAGACUAAUCCCAUUGAGAACAAAGCAGUAUGUUAUAUCAGGUAGAAGCAACAAAAGGUCUCCUUGAAUUCACAAGUUAAGUUUAAUUAUUGAAACAUGUUACAUCAAGUAGCAGCAACAAAAGGUCUCCUUAAAAUUCACAAGUUAUGUCUAAUUAUUUAGAGGACACAUGACUAAGAUAGUCAGAAUAGCAGCAAAUAAACAUGGAACCCCAAAUUAUAAACUUCUAAUGGAAAUUUAGUCCAAAACAGCACUCUAUUCUAAAUGCCCCAGAAUAAUUACAUUAUCACCAUCCUGAAUUCCAACGUGAGAGUGAUACCACGCAACAUACAUAACAUAACAAUUGAAUAUAGACCCAAUACAAUUUCAAUCAACAAACACUUUGGAUAUUAAAUACAACAUUCAAAUUGUUCCCAAAUGUCUUGGAGCUUGUGACAUAUUCAUGGCAUUUCUAGCUCAAGCGAGUUUACAACUCGGGUCCCAAAUGCUAUGGCAGUAUCUAAAUUCAAUUUUAUACUCAAAAUAGACAAAACAUGAAAAUCAAUGAUUAUAAUCACUUGCUCAACAGAUAAGAACAUGUAAUUUCGGAAAUCCUUUCUCAUAAAAACAACAAGUGGUCAAAUAAAAUUACAGAGUCGAAAUUGAGGAAAUGUACCUUGCUCCAACAGAAUAAAAAGAAACAAUGAUAAGGAAUGAAUCUGGGCUCAGCAAUGCAGCGAAUCAGCAGCACACAGUAGUUUUCUUCGAUUUAAAAGCUUUUACCCAGGAAAUGCGCAGCAACCCAUUAAACUUUAAAAAGCCAUCGGCUCUUCUCCUCUUUCAUUUUUUUUGAACUUUUCUUUAGUUUUGAAGAUUACUGAUUUUUGGAUCUUCAUUUAAGUUUUUGUUUUAGCUUUGUUUCAGCCAUUUGUGCAUUUCGUAUGUUUAAAUCAUGAGUGAAAAAUGAGUGUAGGAAAAAAAAAGAAGGGGAGGGCGUUAUUGUGCGAUUUGGAGAAGAGGCUUCUGUUAUGGUGAGGAAAAUCAGGGGAGUGAAGGGAUGAAGGGGAGGGCGUUUGUGUGCGAUUUGGAGAAAAGGCUUCUGUUAUGGUGAGGAAAAUCAGGGGAGUGAAGGGAUGUCCAAAUGAAUUUGAUCGAGGACCAAGAAGGUGGGUUCGAUCCACCAUUUGUGGUUGUUCUUCAAGAGAAGAAGCUCCCCUGUUGCCCCAUUUUCUUGUGAAGGGAUAUGAUGUGUAAAAGGGGGAGGGUUUUUUUAUUUUUGCGUGUGUCCUCUAGAGUAAAUCGAGUGUGUGUGCUUUUAUCGUGAAGAAGAAGAGAACAGGAAAGGGGGCACGCAUUUCGCGUGUCUUUUAAGGGAAGAAGGGGUAUCAGCUAAAUGGGAUUUCGGUCAUGGGUCAUGGGUUUUUGGGAUGGGUUUAAUUGGGCUGAGCUAUUUGGCCCAAAUUUGGGUCUUAAGACUAACCUUUUAGUUUGUUUUUCUUUGGUUUUUCUCUUUUAUCUCUUUUAUUAAUUAAUUAAAAUCCUAAUUUAUUUUUGUAGACAUUAAAACAACUAAUUAACUUAAACUGA
Molecule: long non-coding RNA, 5069 nt
Filed under: Nicotiana benthamiana
Lineage: Eukaryota; Viridiplantae; Streptophyta; Magnoliopsida; Solanales; Solanaceae
Description: long non-coding RNA (NBEN_LNC028969)
Source: RNAcentral